This 450-nucleotide ribosomal RNA is filed under the name uncultured bacterium. RNAcentral describes it as "bacterial SSU rRNA". It matches the Rfam family "Bacterial small subunit ribosomal RNA", at positions 354 to 796 of the family's 1533-position model. The record is from RNAcentral.
GUGGGGAAUAUUGGACAAUGGGCGAAAGCCUGAUCCAGCCAUGCCGCGUGUGUGAAGAAGGUCUUCGGAUUGUAAAGCACUUUAAGUUGGGAGGAAGGGCAGUAAGUUAAUACCUUGCUGUUUUGACGUUACCGACAGAAUAAGCACCGGCUAACUUCGUGCCAGCAGCCGCGGUAAUACGAAGGGUGCAAGCGUUAAUCGGAAUUACUGGGCGUAAUGCGCGCGUAGGUGGUUUUGUAAGUUGGAGGUGAAAUGCCCGGGCUCAACCUGGGUACUGCCGCCAAAACUGCAUGACUAGGGGACGGUAGAGGGUAGUGGAAUUUCCUGUGUAGCGGUGAAAGGCGUAGAUCUAGGAAGGAACACCAGUGGCGAAGGCGACUACCUGGACUGAUACUGACACGGAGGGGCGAAGGCGUGGGGAGAAAACAGGAUUAGAAACCCCAGUAGUCC